AUGGAGAAGCUUCCCAAGCACCCGGCUAACUACGUUCCACUUAGACCGGUCGGGUUCCUUCCGCGCGCCAGUGCAGUAUACGGCGACCGUCGGUCGUCAACGGGCGUCUCAAGUUCACAUGGAGCCAGACGCACGAGCGCUGCCGCCGCCUCGCCGCCGCCGUCGUCACCCUCGGCGUCCGCAAGAACGACGUGGUCUCCGUCCUCGCGCCCAACGUGCCUGCAACGUACGAGAUGCACUUCGCCGUGCCCAUGGCUGCGGCCGUGCUCAACAACAUCAAAACGCGCCUGGACGCCAAGGCGGCGGCGGUCAUCCUGA
Molecule: ribosomal RNA, 318 nt
Filed under: Triticum aestivum (bread wheat)
Lineage: Eukaryota; Viridiplantae; Streptophyta; Magnoliopsida; Poales; Poaceae
Description: partial small subunit ribosomal RNA
Source: RNAcentral